RNAcentral lists this long non-coding RNA (298 nucleotides) under Homo sapiens (human). RNAcentral's name for it is "long non-coding RNA NONHSAT124450.2". The record is from RNAcentral. Lineage: Eukaryota; Metazoa; Chordata; Mammalia; Primates; Hominidae.
UCAUCCGCCGGUUCUGGAACCAAAUCUUCACUGGGUCUCGGUGAGCAUGAGCGAGGUGGCCACCUCGAAGCGCUUGGGCCGCGACAGGUACUUGUUGAGCUUGAACUGGUGCUCCAGCUCCAGCAGCUGCUGGCUGGUGAAGGCGGUGCGCGGCCGGCGGCACUUCCCCAGGAGGUUCGACUGCGCCUGGGUAAUUCAGGGCGCUCUCGGCUCGCCUUCCCCCGGCGACUUCCUUCUCCUGCAGCCUUCGGGUUAAUCAUUAGAUCUCAGUCUCACACCUCCAACUGCCCCUUCCCGU